RNAcentral lists this ribosomal RNA (954 nucleotides) under Triticum aestivum (bread wheat). RNAcentral's name for it is "partial small subunit ribosomal RNA". Lineage: Eukaryota; Viridiplantae; Streptophyta; Magnoliopsida; Poales; Poaceae. The record is from RNAcentral.
AUGACGGGAUCAGCCAACCUUAGGGACUGCAAGCAGCUGGAGAAGAUGGUGAGGAAGCACGCGCAGUCGGGGCGCCUGUGCGGCGCCAUCGGGGCGGCGCCGGCGCCGGCGCUUGCCCGAUGGGGCGUGCUCGGAGGCUUCACGGCGACCUGCCAUCCGGACCUGCUGGGGCGGAUGGGCGACGAAGACGGGGUGAUCGCCGUGGAUGACAGGGUGGUGAAGGACAGGAACGUGGUGACCAGCCAGGGCGUCGGGACGGCCAUCGAGUUCGCGCUCGAACUGGUGGAGCAGCUCUACGGCCAACUCACGGCGGAGGAGGUCGCCGGACCUUUGCAUAUGCGCCCCCAACAAGGAGUCAAGUAUGUCAUCCAAAAGUACAACCAGAUCCAAUGGAAAUGCACUGGCACGGUUCUUGUGCCUGUUGCCGACGGCUCGGUGGAGAUGGAGGCUCUCAACCUGAUCGAUGUCCUGCGGAGGGCAAGCGCACGCGUCACGGUCGCUUCGGUCGAGGACACGCCGCGCAUCAUGACCCGCCAUUACAAGCUCAAUCUGAUCGCCGAUGUGAUGCUGGAACAGGCUGCUAAAAUGGAGUUCGACCUCAUCGUCAUGCCGGGUGGUCUUCCUGGUGCUCUCAAGUUCACCAGCACGGAUAAACUUGUGGGCAUGCUGAAGAAACAGGCGGAAUCUGGUAGACCCUAUGGUGCAAUAUGCGCUUCCCCUGCUUACGUCCUCGAGCCCCACGGAUUACUCAAGGGUAAGAAAGUGACAUCAUUUCCACCCAUGGCGCACCUGCUUACAGACCAGAGCGCAUGCGAAUACAGGGUCGUCGUCGACGGUAACCUUAUCACAAGCAGAGCACCAGGGACCGCCACAGAGUUUGCCCUGGCAAUUGUUGAGAAGCUAUUUGAUGAGGAGAAAGCGAUCGCGUUAGCCAAGGAGUUGGUUUUUAUGUGA